CAGUCGUACGCUUCUUUUUCACCGGAGCUUGCUCCACCGGAAAAAGAAGAGUGGCGAACGGGUGAGUAACACGUGGGUAACCUGCCCAUCAGAAGGGGAUAACACUUGGAAACAGGUGCUAAUACCGUAUAACAAUCGAAACCGCAUGGUUUUGAUUUGAAAGGCGCUUUCGGGUGUCGCUGAUGGAUGGACCCGCGGUGCAUUAGCUAGUUGGUGAGGUAACGGCUCACCAAGGCCACGAUGCAUAGCCGACCUGAGAGGGUGAUCGGCCACAUUGGGACUGAGACACGGCCCAAACUCCUACGGGAGGCAGCAGUAGGGAAUCUUCGGCAAUGGACGAAAGUCUGACCGAGCAACGCCGCGUGAGUGAAGAAGGUUUUCGGAUCGUAAAACUCUGUUGUUAGAGAAGAACAAGGAUGAGAGUAACUGUUCAUCCCUUGACGGUAUCUAACCAGAAAGCCACGGCUAACUACGUGCCAGCAGCCGCGGUAAUACGUAGGUGGCAAGCGUUGUCCGGAUUUAUUGGGCGUAAAGCGAGCGCAGGCGGUUUCUUAAGUCUGAUGUGAAAGCCCCCGGCUCAACCGGGGAGGGUCAUUGGAAACUGGGAGACUUGAGUGCAGAAGAGGAGAGUGGAAUUCCAUGUGUAGCGGUGAAAUGCGUAGAUAUAUGGAGGAACACCAGUGGCGAAGGCGGCUCUCUGGUCUGUAACUGACGCUGAGGCUCGAAAGCGUGGGGAGCAAACAGGAUUAGAUACCCUGGUAGUCCACGCCGUAAACGAUGAGUGCUAAGUGUUGGAGGGUUUCCGCCCUUCAGUGCUGCAGCUAACGCAUUAAGCACUCCGCCUGGGGAGUACGACCGCAAGGUUGAAACUCAAAGGAAUUGACGGGGGCCCGCACAAGCGGUGGAGCAUGUGGUUUAAUUCGAAGCAACGCGAAGAACCUUACCAGGUCUUGACAUCCUUUGACCACUCUAGAGAUAGAGCUUCCCCUUCGGGGGCAAAGUGACAGGUGGUGCAUGGUUGUCGUCAGCUCGUGUCGUGAGAUGUUGGGUUAAGUCCCGCAACGAGCGCAACCCUUAUUGUUAGUUGCCAUCAUUCAGUUGGGCACUCUAGCAAGACUGCCGGUGACAAACCGGAGGAAGGUGGGGAUGACGUCAAAUCAUCAUGCCCCUUAUGACCUGGGCUACACACGUGCUACAAUGGGAAGUACAACGAGUCGCGAAGUCGCGAGGCUAAGCUAAUCUCUUAAAGCUUCUCUCAGUUCGGAUUGUAGGCUGCAACUCGCCUACAUGAAGCCGGAAUCGCUAGUAAUCGCGGAUCAGCACGCCGCGGUGAAUACGUUCCCGGGCCUUGUACACACCGCCCGUCACACCACGAGAGUUUGUAACACCCGAAGUCGGUGAGGUACCUUUGGAGCCAG
This 1418-nucleotide ribosomal RNA is filed under the name Enterococcus durans. Its description in RNAcentral is "bacterial SSU rRNA". It matches the Rfam family "Bacterial small subunit ribosomal RNA". The record is from RNAcentral. Lineage: Bacteria; Bacillati; Bacillota; Bacilli; Lactobacillales; Enterococcaceae.